Molecule: ribosomal RNA, 872 nt
Filed under: uncultured Ruminococcus sp.
Lineage: Bacteria; Bacillati; Bacillota; Clostridia; Eubacteriales; Oscillospiraceae
Description: bacterial SSU rRNA
Rfam family: Bacterial small subunit ribosomal RNA
Source: RNAcentral
GAUGAACGCUGGCGGCGUGCCUAACACAUGCAAGUCGAGCGAAGCACUUUGCUUAGAUUCUUCGGAUGAAGAGGAUUGUGACUGAGCGGCGGACGGGUGAGUAACGCGUGGGUAACCUGCCUCAUACAGGGGGAUAACAGUUAGACAUGACUGCUAAUACCGCAUAAGACCACAGCACCGCAUGGUGCGGGGGUAAAAACUCCGGUGGUAUGAGAUGGACCCGCGUCUGAUUAGCUAGUUGGUAAGGUAACGGCUUACCAAGGCGACGAUCAGUAGCCGACCUGAGAGGGUGACCGGCCACAUUGGGACUGAGACACGGCCCAAACUCCUACGGGAGGCAGCAGUGGGGAAUAUUGCACAAUGGGGGAAACCCUGAUGCAGCGACGCCGCGUGAGCGAAGAAGUAUUUCGGUAUGUAAAGCUCUAUCAGCAGGGAAGAAAAUGACGGUACCUGACUAAGAAGCACCGGCUAAAUACGUGCCAGCAGCCGCGGUAAUACGUAUGGUGCAAGCGUUAUCCGGAUUUACUGGGUGUAAAGGGAGCGUAGACGGAUGGGCAAGUCUGAUGUGAAAACCCGGGGGCUCAACCCCGGGACUGCAUUGGAAACUGUUCAUCUAGAGUGCUGGAGAGGUAAGUGGAAUUCCUAGUGUAGCGGUGAAUGCGUAGAUAUUAGGAGGAACACCAGUGGCGAAGGCGGCUUACUGGACAGUAACUGGCGUUGAGGCUCGAAAGCGUGGGAGCAGCACGAUUAAUGCCCUGGUAAUCCAAAGGGCAAAUUCCACAGUGGAUGUCGGGCUGUCGUGCCGGGCGACGUCCAGGGGGGGCCCGGGGCCGGGGGUGUUCGCGUUGUGAAACUGGAUAAAACACUAGAAU